CAACAACAGACUCGGUGAAAUUGUAAUUCCGGUGAAGAUGCCGGAUACCUGCGACAGGACGGAAAGACCCCAUGGAGCUUUACUGUAGCUUGACAUUGGGUCUUGGUACUACAUGUACAGGAUAGGUGGGAGGCUUUGAAACCAGGACGCCAGUUUUGGCGGAGCCAUCCUUGGGAUACCACCCUUGUAGUACUGGGACUCUAACCAUAGGCCAUGAAUCUGGUCUUGGGACACUGUCAGGUGGGCAGUUUGACUGGGGCGGUCGCCUCCCAAAAGGUAACGGAGGCGCUCAAAGGUUCUCUCAGUACGGUCGGAAAUCGUACGUAGAGUGUAAAGGCAAAAGAGAGCUUGAUUGCAAGACAUACAGGUCGAGCAAGGAUGAAAAUCGGACUUAGUGAUCCGGUGGUUCUGCGUGGAAGGGCCAUCGCUCAACGGAUAAAAGCUACCCUGGGGAUAACAGGCUUAUCUCCCCCAAGAGUCCACAUCGACGGGGAUGUUUGGCACCUCGAUGUCGGCUCAUCACAUCCUGGGGCUGUAGUAGGUCCCAAGGGUUGGGCUGUUCGCCCAUUAAAGUGGUACGCGAGCUGGGUUCAGAACGUCGUGAGACAGUUCGGUCCCUAUC
RNAcentral lists this ribosomal RNA (622 nucleotides) under Clostridioides difficile. RNAcentral describes it as "bacterial LSU rRNA". It matches the Rfam family "Bacterial large subunit ribosomal RNA", at positions 2022 to 2642 of the family's 2925-position model. Lineage: Bacteria; Bacillati; Bacillota; Clostridia; Peptostreptococcales; Peptostreptococcaceae. The record is from RNAcentral.